UUAUCGAUUCUCAAUGCUCCCUCAUUGCUCAAUCGUAGUAUACUCCCAUCCUUCAACAAACAACGUGGUUGAAACAAAGCAGCCAAGGUUCUAAAUGUUUGAAAUAGCCCAGGACUAUCCUGAAGAGGGUUUAACAACAUCAAAAAUCCAAUAUAUUAAAGUUCCUAAGCUUCAAUAUGACAAAACUAAGAUGAAGAACUUAGCCCUAACUGUUGAUGUGGAGUUGGUGCUAAUUUGCUGCCACCCCCUUUCAUGAUGUUUUCAAUGUCAAAACAGGCUGGUGAUUUCUGAGCUUCUUUGUGUCAGUCCAAUGUGCUAUGUGCAGAUGGGUUUGUUACAGCCAGCCGGUGAUAGGUGCUCUUCUUGCUACCUGUACCAGCUGUAUGUUUCAUAUCAUACAAAAACACUUAACACAAUGAAUGACACACUUCAGAACAAUGAAGGAUAAACAGCCUGGUGAAGUCUGAGCUUCUUUGUUGCUGCCCAAUGUUCACAUGGAUUUGACAUAAGCGGCAGGUUUAUCGUGUAAGUUUGCGUAGUUGCUGUCCGCUGUGGCUCGUUGUUGCAGCCUAUGCUGGCGAAAGAUCUUUCUACAACAAGUUCAAUUGGUCGUUCCUUGGUGUCGUGUUACCGAAAUUGCAUCAUUAUUUUGCUAAAUUGUCAUCGUUACUACAGUUGAUAAGUUAAGAAGCUACAAAAACAAAUAUCGGAUGUUUAUGUCAAACAAAUAAUAAAUAUGUUUUCGGGAUUGGGAAAGGAAAGUGGAGGUGGGGGAGGAUAUUUCAAGUCGGGACAAAAAAUCAGUUAAUUUAUAAACCUACAAACAUAUCCCUACCAACUAAUCAGCAAACCCCACAAACUUAUACCUUCCAAUUCUUCAAACCCCACAAACAUACACCUACCAAACCCUAAAUUUAUGCCCUAAACCCCAUAAACCAAUGUUAAACCAUAACGAUGUAAAAUAUCUGUAAUAAAUAAAA
Molecule: long non-coding RNA, 980 nt
Organism: Daphnia pulex (common water flea)
Lineage: Eukaryota; Metazoa; Arthropoda; Branchiopoda; Diplostraca; Daphniidae
Exons: 5
Source: RefSeq, a predicted model, not a curated record